CCGUCCAUCCAUCCUCCCYGGCGGCCGCCGGUCCCUGCCACGGCCUGACCCCGCGUCUCCCGCCAGGCAAAGCUGCGGAGGUGCUGUCGGGCGGCAAGGCGCCGGCGCUGAGCGACCCGUUCCUGGCCCGCCGCGGCGGGCCGCUGCUGAGCUGGUCGGCGGUGGCGCAGACGAAGCGGAGGGCGGCGAGCAAGGGCACGGCCGUGCUGCAGAACCUCUUCCAGGUCAACGGCAGCGCCAAGAAGCUGCGGGCCAAAGAGGCGCUCUUCCCCGUGCACCACCACGUCGCCGCCCCCGUCUUCGGCAACGGCUUCGGGGCCGACUCCUUCAGCCGCAUCGCCAGCUCCUACGCGUCCUUCGGGGCCGGGGCUGGGCUGGUGCUGCCGGCUGCCCAGAAACUCCUGCGCUCCAAGAAGGCCGAGCGGCUGGAGGCAGAAGUGGGCAAAGGCGGCCGGAGAAAAGCAGGCAGUGAGUACCUGGUCAAGCUGGACCACGAAGGGGUGACGUCCCCCAAGAACAAGAACUGCAAGGCCCUGCUGCUGGGUGAGAAGGACUUUGGGGCCAAGCUGGAGCGGCCCCUGGCCAGCCACGGCURUGCCCAUUCGGCCCUGGCGGGCAAGGAUAGGAAGGGGCGGGCGCCCGUGCACCAGCUGCCCCUGGGGCUGGCGCUGCGGAAGUACUCGGGCCAGGCCGAGUUCGCCCUGAACUGCGACAGCGACUGCCACAGCUCCUACUCGGACAUGGACGAGGACGAGGAGGCGGGCGGGCUGGGCGCCGAUGUGCCCUCGCGCUUUAUGACCCGCCUCUCGGUUUCCUCCUCUUCCUCGGGCUCUUCCACCUCCUCCAGCUCCGGCUCCAUCUCCACGUCCAGCCUCUGCUCCUCCGACAACGAGGACUCCUCCUACAGCUCCGAGGACGAGGACUCCACGCUGCUGCUCCAGACCUGCCUCUCGCACCCGGUGCCGGCGCUGCUGGCGCAGCCGGACGCCCUGCGCUCCAAGAGCGGCGCCCCGCAGCGCUGCUUCCUCCCCAAGGCCGCCGCCGCCGGCCCCAAGGCCAAGCUCAAGCGCAAGGAGGCCCUCAGCUUCUCCAAAGCCAAAGAGUUCUCCCGGCGGCAGCGCCUGCCCUCGGUGGAAAACCGGCCAAAGAUCUCCGCCUUCCUGCCCGCACGCCAGCUCUGGAGGUGGUCGGGGAACCCCACGCAGGUACGGCCAGCGCCCCGGCCCCGGCUGCUCGGYGCGGGCGCGGGGUGAGGAAGGACGGAGCACGGCGCCGGGGUGCACAGGGCACGGCGCCUCGAUGCACGGUGUCUGGGUGCUUGGGGCGCAGCGCCUGGGGCACAGAGCGAGGCUCCUUGUUGCACAGCGCCCGGGUGCACGGGGCUCAGCACCUGGGUGCACAGGGCAUGGCAUCUCCGUGCACGGUGCCUCGGUGCAGGGGGCACAGCGCCUGGGUGCGUGGUGCCUGGGUGCACGGGGCACAGCAUUUCAGUGCAUGGUGCCUCGGUGCACGGCACCUGGGUGCACAGUGCCUCGGUGCACAGGGCACGGUGCCUUGGUGCAUGGCACCUGGGUGCACGGUGCCUGGGUGCACGGGGCACAGCAUUUCGGUGCACGGUGCCUCGGUGCACGGUGCCUUGGAGCACAGCGCCUGGGUGCGCGGUGCCGUGGGCGCGUGGGGCAUAGCUGCUCAGUGCAUGGGGCGCAGCACCUGGGUGCAUGGGGCACGGCACUGCCCGGCGUGGGGCACAGCGCCUGGGUGCACAGCGCUUCAGUGCAUGGGGCCGGGGUGCACAGCCCCAGCGCUCGGCUGCGUCACUCACCCGCCCGCAGCUCCGCCGUGUGCCUGCUGCCGCUGUCCCCGGACAUGGCGAAGCGAAAACCCGCGGCUGGGGGGAGGGGGGCGGGGGGGUCGGGCCGCGCUCCCCCGGCAGCGUCGGGGCCCUGCGAAACGCGCCCGCCCGCCCGGUAGCUGUCACUGUUCGUUCACCAGGAAGAGUCUCGGCUCCACCAUUCAACCCACGGGCAGGAGGAGGAAACAACAACUCACGGCAACCCGCCGCCAACGCCGCCGCCGCCGCCGCUGCUAGCCAGCCGGCGCGAGCGAGCGAGCGCGAUCCCUCCGCCCGGAGAAAGAGUCCCCUC
This is a long non-coding RNA of Apteryx rowi (Okarito brown kiwi), 2144 nucleotides long. Lineage: Eukaryota; Metazoa; Chordata; Aves; Apterygiformes; Apterygidae. The record is from Ensembl.